This 74-nucleotide transfer RNA is filed under the name Lachnospiraceae bacterium. RNAcentral's name for it is "tRNA-Met". It matches the Rfam family "tRNA". From Rfam's summary of the family: Transfer RNA (tRNA) molecules are approximately 80 nucleotides in length. Their secondary structure includes four short double-helical elements and three loops (D, anti-codon, and T loops). Lineage: Bacteria; Bacillati; Bacillota; Clostridia; Lachnospirales; Lachnospiraceae. The record is from RNAcentral.
CGCGGGAUACCUCAGUUGGCGAGAGCACACGGUUCAUACCCGUGGUGUCGAUGGUUCAAAUCAAGUUCCCGCUC